RNAcentral lists this long non-coding RNA (4509 nucleotides) under Triticum aestivum (bread wheat). RNAcentral's name for it is "long non-coding RNA (TAES_LNC017763)". The record is from RNAcentral. Lineage: Eukaryota; Viridiplantae; Streptophyta; Magnoliopsida; Poales; Poaceae.
ACGGUGAUUGAGGUUGGUGGUGCGGAGGAGGCGGGGAGUGUGUGACGAAGGGUGCACUAUUUCGUACUUAUUUCCCAGACAAAAUGGUGGGUGCUGGUCUUGCAAGCCGCUUUUACCAAAUCUAGUGGGCUGCUUGUGCAUGCUUGGAGGCCAUUUCUGACCCAGGCGGGGACCGCGCCGCCGCGCGUUCGAGCAGCUAUUGUUGCGCCGGGCACCAGCGAGACCGGAUCUCGCUGUCGCCGGGGAGGUCGCAGGUGCCGGGGCAGAGCUUUGGUGUUGCGUUGAACGGCCUGUCGUUCCUUGUCGCUUAGUCUUAUGAAGAGCUACAGGUAUGAACCCCUCUGCACACUCCCAUUCUCCUCUUAAGAGAUUUUGCUUAGAUUUGGAUUUUUCAAAGCAUUUUUGUUCAUUAUAGCGCUGAUUUUGCGCUUGCAAUUUCAAAUUAGGAUAUAACCUCCUACAUACUGUCUUGUUCAUAUAUCUAGACUAUAUAAUUAUUUGAUCAUGGAUUGAUCUCGCUUCCAUUUUGUAGGGACCUGAGCUUGCAUUUUUUUUCAGGUUCACAUUGUAAGUGCCAACUGAAGAUUAUUUCUUGUACUUUAUUCGCAGCAGUGUUGUACUCCAUAGUAUUUUUAAUUUGCUGUUAGCAAGAUAUACAACUCACAGAGAAUCAAUGCUGAAGCUAGACACUGGAUUAUUGCGAGUUCUGAGCGUUUAACUCAGCCUCCAGCUACCUGAAUGUUUGGUGGCAUUUGGUUUGGAGCAGGCUGCAAGGACCUAAAGCCAAGCUUCUGAAUUUCCACGGUGUCCCUUUUCACCUGGACCAUCUACAGUGUGCGUAACAACAGGGUUCUUCAGAAUAACUACACUUUCAGUUCAGCCAAUCUUUUAUUGAACUAAGGUAGAUGCAAGGAAUUGAUUCCUGCAAGUGUUCAGCGUCUUUCUUUGUAAGGUCAUUUGCUUUGAUCAUAAUGUAUUUUUUCUGGUCAUGUCGUUCAGUGCUUAUAUUCAGUUUCCUCAUAAUUGGGGGUUGUGAAUUGGAUUAUUCAUUAUGCCUUUUGUCUUAAAAAAGGCCUUAUGAGCCAGAAGUUGGUUCAUAUGUGUCAAUUAUUUUCUUAAACUGCAAAGGCCUUACCUUCUGUGCGUAUAUAUGUCACCUAAUUUUGUUAUAGGUUUGUUGAGCAGAAGCUCACUUGUGCAAGCAAGAUGCCAUUGAUUUGCUUAUAUCCAGUUCUGCUAUUAAGUGACUGAAGCAAGGUGUGUUCCUCUCUAUUGUGCUGGGCUCAUAUAGAUUUGCCGAAGUAUAGUUUCUGCAAAUUGUGAAGUGAAUCCUAAUGUGCGAAACUCUGGUCUUGUAGUAUGUUCCUGUCUAUUGUAGAAAGUAAUCAAUCUGUUUUAAACUAAGAACAUUGGUAACAUUCACAUCCUUAAUAUAAUAACUAUCCUUAUCCUGGUCGAUGCCAAGUACUCUUUCGUAUCUUGGUCGAUACAAAUAGACUCUCAUACUAUUUUUUCCAUAAACUACAGAUCCACUAAUUAUCUAGAUAACAUCCUUUUUCUCCUGGGCUUUGCUUUCCGUACUUCAUCUUCAUCUUCAAGCAUUGAAUUUUGGCUUUUGCUUUAACAUGUUUCUUGUUACCGCGGACACUUUUUUCCUUUUGUUCAGGCAUAUUCGUCUGACUGCAUACAUCCUCCGACCCAUCUGAUAUUACAACAGAUCUUAGUCUCCUUUUAUUGCCACUGCGGAGCUCACGUGAUGAUGAUGAUAUUUUGUCUUGAUGCUUAUCUUUGUUUAAUGUAGUCCCAUUGCUCUCAUGUGGCUCCUCUUUCACUGGCACCAGUUCGCAUGAAAGUUUGCCAGGGGAAACUUUAUCAUUUGUGACUGCAAACAUAUACAUUUUGAAAAUUAGACACAUCUCUAAAAAUCUAAAUUAUGUACAUAGUUUAAAAUAUCAAUCACCUUUCUAUCUGGCAUGUUCUGCUUCUUCAUUAACACAGUGUACACCUCAUCAUCCAUCAAUUCUUCUGAAACAUAUGUAAGAUGAAUUAGUUAAGGAAUUCUGAAGAUGGUAAAAAGGUAAUGCAGCUUUACCUCCUCGGCUUUAUUGUCCAAGUAGAGCAACUCAAGCCUAUCAUCAAGCACAAAUGUUCUUUUUACUGCAUAGUUUUGUGUGCCAAAUGUGAGAUUAUUAUCAAUGAGCUUGAAUCGAAAUAUAAGUCUUUUUCCAUAUAAUUGUUGAAUAAUCUUUGGCACUGCUUCCGAUUUCCCAUCUAGUGUGUCCAGCAACUUAGAUGUAGAUGUAUUAAGCAAUCUUGCAGCCUCCUCGUCAAAUAAAGUGCAACUUGUAGUAGGUGUAUGUUCACUAAUUUGGAGUCGAACACGAUACCUAACGUACCAUUCAUGUUAGUGUAGAGUAAAUAUAAUAUAACAGUUCUUGUUUAUAUCUUAGCAAUAUAAUAUGCUUACCGGGUUGUGACCUUUUCUGGAUAUACACCACAACUCUUGCAAUAAUAAUUGUCGGUUUGCUUGUUAACCAAUUUGUGACACUUAUCACAUGACAUGUACCACCAUUGAAUAUUUUCUUGCAAAUGAUCUAUUGUAGAUAUUGUUGUGAACACAAAAUCCUAAAAAAAAUCAACAUUAGCAUUUGGGUGGGGGUGGGGGAUUAAGAGACAUAUAUAAGUACAAUUAGGUUUCAUUGCAACUAAUAUGAAUGAAUUGUCCAUGCAGGCCUUAACUCGUAUCAUGAAGAUUGAUGAUAUCAUUUAUUGGAAUUCCGAUGCAUUACCUGGUCUGACUGAUUUUCAUGCCUCAUUGUAGUAAGUUCUUGUAAUGUUCUCCUCCUAUAAAACAUUUGCUCUUCUAGUGUUCCUUGAUUAAUUCUACCUAUACUAAUCAUUUUUGGUAAGGUUUCUUCUGUUGAGUCCCUGCACAUGUAUCAAGUAAAUAAGAAUAUACAAUCUUGAAUCAACGUGAGUCAGUAUUUAUGAGUGAAACAUAUAAUAUUGGUGGUGUUUCAUACUUAUCAAGAAGUUCUUGUGUUUCUGGUAUAUCUAGAUCUAUAUUUAUUCUUGUGGCACUGGUUGACUUUCGGCACAGACCUAUUAAAUCAAUCAGUUAGAAUUUGUAAAUGAUCAUAAUAGCAUGUAAGAUUUAUGGACUUACCAUUGAAUCUCUGCACCAUCGUUGAUGUAAUAGUAAUGGCAGUUUUGCUGCCAAUUACAUCCUGGUCAAAAAAUAAGCAAACUUUCCCCACAACGUGAUUCAGAUUUUAUCACCCCUAAAGAAUAUAAUCUGAGAAGUUAGUGCUAACCACAUGGGGAGAUUUAGUUAAAUUUGAGACAUGCAUAUGCAUAUGCACUUACUCUGGCAUUAGGAUUUCAAUCUCGUGGAUAUAUGAAGGUUUUGGGUUCUUUUCGUAUUCUCGUCUCCACGGGCUUCAUUUGUGUUAGUAGUCCAAUGACAUAUGUAUAUUUGGAGAUUAGUGAUAUAACAAUUAGACAUAUCAAUUAUUUGGAGGUCGUAAUUACAACUAUAAACAUACCUGAGCAUUGUGUAUCUUUUUCCGCCCUUUCUUCUAGUGUGUCCAUGUCAGCAAACUUGAAGCAAUAAUCUGGGAAAACUUCUGAAGAUCCUUUUAUUUCUUUUACCUUUGUAUUGUAUGAAAAAUAUAUUUUAAUUUCAUUGCACAUUGGCCUAUAUUUUGUGGAUUCCAUGACCUUAAAAUUGUUGAAUGCAUAAAUAGAUUUCUCAUUGAUCUUUGAUUCUUCCACAUAGUAGCAUGGAUUCUUCCACCUUCUCAAAUAAACAAAUAUGGUUAGUAACAGUUGCUUCAUCUGACAGAAAAAUUCUAAUUAAAUAUAUUAGAAAACAAACCUGGUCAUCCAUCAUAAUCAUAUCUAGGCUAAUAAGCUCAUCGGUCGUAGGAUUCACUGAAUCCCACAUUCUCAUUACUUUCACUUGAAUGUUCCAGUUCCGUCACCUUGUAUUUAAGUCGCUCAACUUCUUGCAUGCCAUAGUCUUAUGUCUUAAAAAAUUAACAGGGAACAAUUUAUCAAUUGAUAUAGUUUCUAUGAAGAUUCUAUCUAGAAAAAAUAAGCUUGCUAAAUAAAAAAAUACCAAAUCUGAUGAUUCAGGCUAGAAGUGAUUUGGCGUCACUUCUUCGACGUCUUGAUGGGAACAGUUGGGCGUGGCUUCGUCGGGCGUUGAGCGUGCUUCAGGUGACUUUGUCGGACGUCGAUUUAAGCGGCUAGAGGUGGCUUUUCGUCUAGAUGUAGUGUGGCGUGUGGCCUGUGUUGCCUGACUUCUAGUAGUUGUUUGGUAGGUACUUGUGCGUCUGGCUGUAUUUGUUUAUAGUUAUAUAUGGGUUGAGGUGAUUGUGACCGUGUGGAAAUCAGAUAGCCGACAAUGGGCUGAAAUAAGAUUUGUUUUAUUUGCAUGCACUCGUAUCUGUGCUGGAACUUUCCUCAUGUGAGGUCUGGUGCUUGUCCGUAUUUGUUAAGGUUCCU